AUUUGAAGCCUCACUAUGGGUAAGGCCCUGUGUAGGUUACCAUGUGGGGGUAUGACGAUGUACAAGAUCUAGCUCCAGUCUUCCAAGCUGUCACAAUCCUUUCAGACACACAGGAUCACAACAGGGCAGAACAGAAUCCUCUUCUGGUGACAAAGAAACUUGAGGCACAGAGAAGGUCUGCAGCCCUUUCUUGGGAAUUCCCUGAGGCCAUGAGCAGAGAGGGCAACGGGGUGUCUGGUGGACAAGGAACCAAGAAGCAAGCAUUUAGCUCCCCUUUCAUUUCGGAGGAGACAGCCAGAGGCACAGUGGCUUUGGGGGCCUUUCAAGACUAUUGUGUCCAGCGCUACCUUAGCUAUGCUCCAGCCCAGACAAGGACCCAUUUCUGAGAUUAAAGGAACUGUCCAUCACCUCCAAGCCUGCGGAUUGUGGAGGCUCUUCUGUGGGCAAAUGAGAGGGCAACUUGUACCUAUCAUCAUGGAAAAAACCCCUCUUCCAACCCAAACGCAUGUCCAAAAAGUAGGGCAUAAACACUGGCCAGGAACCAGCCCCACUACUACCUUGCUAUACAACCUCAGAGAACUCACCCAUUGUGUCUGGUUCCUUGUCUGCACAAGGAGAACCGCGACCUGCCCAGCAGCCUCACAGUGUGGGACUCAAGAAGGUGUGAUUGUAUAUUGAACAGUACGAGGUCUCAGAUAAAUGUAAGGAUUCGCCUGAU
Herpailurus yagouaroundi (jaguarundi) is the source of this 718-nucleotide long non-coding RNA. RefSeq lists it as uncharacterized. NCBI's taxonomy places the organism in Eukaryota, Metazoa, Chordata, Mammalia, Carnivora, Felidae. The transcript has 2 exons. The record is from RefSeq and is a predicted model, not a curated record.